Macaca mulatta (Rhesus monkey) is the source of this 2580-nucleotide RNA transcript. It is a transcript of the gene named ral guanine nucleotide dissociation stimulator like 3, with no coding region annotated. NCBI's taxonomy places the organism in Eukaryota, Metazoa, Chordata, Mammalia, Primates, Cercopithecidae. The record is from RefSeq and is a predicted model, not a curated record.
CCCGCCACCCGCCGGCCCUUCCCUUUCACUCAGCGGAGCCACUGAGAGGGACGGGUGCCGGCCAUGGAGCGCACAGCAGGCAAAGAGCUGGCCCUGGCACCGCUGCAGGACUGGGGGGAAGAGACCGAGGACGGCGCGGUGUACAGUGUCUCCCUGCGGCGACAGCGCAGUCAGCGCUUGAGCCCGGCGGAGGGCACCGCGGGCAGCCAGGCCCCCAGCCCCAUUGCCAACACCUUCCUCCACUAUCGAACCAGCAAGGUGAGGGUGCUGAGGGCGGCGCGCCUGGAGCGGCUGGUGGGAGAGUUGGUGUCUGGAGACCAUGAGCAGGACCCCAGCUUUGUGCCUGCCUUCCUGGCCACCUACCGGACCUUUGUACCCACUGCCCACCUGCUGGGCUUUCUGCUGCCACCAAUGCCGCCGCCCCCACCUCCUGGGGUAGAGAUCAAGAAGACAGCGGUACAAGAUCUGAGCUUCAACAAGAACCUGAGGGCUGUGGUGUCAGUGCUGGGCUCCUGGCUGCAGGACCACCCUCAGGAUUUCCGAGACCCCCCUGCCCACUCAGACCUGGGCAGUGUCCGAACCUUUCUGGGCUGGGCGGCCCCAGGGAGCGCUGAGGCUCGAAAAGCAGAGAAGCUUCUGGAAGAUUUUUUGGAGGAGGCUAAGCGAGAGCAGGAAGAGGAGCCACCUCAGGUGUGGACAGGACCUCCCAGAGUUGCCCAAACUUCUGACCCAGACUCUGCAGAGGCCUGCGCGGAGGAAGAGGAAGGACUCAUGCCUCAAGCUCCCCAGCUCCUGGACUUCAGCGUGGACGUGGUGGCCGAGCAGCUGACCCUCAUGGACUUGGAGCUCUUCUCCAAGGUGAGGCCCUACGAGUGCCUGGGCUCCGUGUGGUCGCAGAGGGACCGGCCCGGGGCUGCAGGCGCCUCCCCCACUGUGCGCGCCACCGUGGCCCAGUUCAACACAGUGACCGGCUGUGUGCUGGGUUCCGUGCUCGGAGCGCCGGGCUUGACCGCCCCGCAGAGGGCGCAGCGGCUGGAGAAGUGGAUCCGCAUCGCCCAGCGCUGCCGAGAACUGCGGAACUUCUCCUCCUUGCGCGCCAUCCUGUCCGCCCUGCAAUCUAACCCCAUCUACCGGCUCAAGCGCAGCUGGGGGGCCGUAAGCCGGGAACCGCUAUCUACUUUCAGGAAACUUUCGCAGAUUUUCUCCGAUGAGAACAACCACCUCAGCAGUAGAGAGAUUCUUUUCCAGGAGGAGGCCACUGAGGGAUCCCAAAAAGAGGACAACACCCCAGGCAGCCUGCCCUCGAAACCACCCCCAGGCCCUGUCCCCUACCUUGGCACCUUCCUCACGGACCUGGUUAUGCUGGACACAGCCCUGCCGGAUAUGUUGGAGGGGGAUCUCAUUAACUUUGAGAAGAGGAGGAAGGAGUGGGAGAUCCUGGCCCGCAUCCAGCAGCUGCAGAGGCGCUGUCAGAGCUACACCCUGAGCCCCCACCCGCCCAUCCUGGCUGCCCUGCAUGCCCAGCGCCAGCUCAGUGAGGAGCAGAGCUACCGGCUCUCCCGGGUCAUUGAGCCACCAGCUGCCUCUUGCCCCAGCUCCCCACGAAUCCAACGGCGGAUCAGCCUCACCAAGCGUCUCAGUGCGAAGCUUUCCCGAGAGAAAAGCUCAUUCCCUAGUUGGAGUCCCGGGAACCCCUCAUCCCCCACCUCCAGUGUGUCCCCAGGGUCUCCCCCCUCAAGUCCCAGAAGCAGAGAUGCUCCUGCUGGCAGUCCCCCGGCCUCUCCAGGGCCCCAGGGCCCCAGCACCAAGCCCUCAGCAUCUGCAGAUGAGCCAAGUUGUAGCCUCCAUCCCUUACUGCCUGCAGCUGCCCCUGAGCCCGGACCUGCCCAGACCUGGCCCUUUGCCUCUGGGCAGCCCUCGAAUCCCCCUCCCGGCGCAGCAGAGCUCGGAGGCCCGUGUCAUCCGCAUCAGCAUCGACAAUGACCACGGGAACCUGUAUCGAAGCAUCUUGCUGACCAGUCAGGACAAAGCCCCCAGCGUGGUCCAGCGAGCCUUGCAGAAGCACAAUGUACCCCAGCCCUGGGCCCGUGAUUAUCAGCUCUUUCAAGUCCUUCCUGGGGACAGGGAGCUCCUGAUUCCUGACAAUGCCAACGUCUUCUAUGCCAUGAGUCCAGCCGCCCCCGGAGACUUCAUGCUACGGCGGAAAGAGGGGACCCGGCACACUCUGUCUGUCUCCCCGACCUGAGGCAGCUGUGUCCUCCCCGCAAGACACAAGUCCCACAGGCAAGCUUGUGACUCCUCUCCUGGAAAGCCCCCAACUGAAGCUACUAUACUCUGUAUCCCGGGACCACCCCCCAACUGUAGCCCAUUGGACCCCAUCUCUUUUCAUGACCCUGUUGGUACUAGAUCCAUAUUCCAAAGACAUCAGCCCAUGGGUGGCUGGUGGACAGCUCAAUCUCAUAAAUAUAGAAAGGGGUGGGGCAUGGGUACGUCAGAUCCCUCCCCAGAGAAAUGUUACAAAUGUUGGAGAUGCAUCAGAAGUGACAGAUGCAGAUGAAAAUAGUCACCAGAGUUAUGAAA